This 500-nucleotide long non-coding RNA is filed under the name Nicotiana benthamiana. Its description in RNAcentral is "long non-coding RNA (NBEN_LNC039672)". The record is from RNAcentral. Lineage: Eukaryota; Viridiplantae; Streptophyta; Magnoliopsida; Solanales; Solanaceae.
AAAUGUGUAUUUGCUCGACGAGAAGUCUCCUUCUUAGGACACAUUGUUGGUGAGGGAACGCUACGGAUGGAUGAGUCCGAAAUUCGGGCGAUACAUGAUUGGGAGCCGCCGAACAAAGUUCCAGAACAUCGGUCUUUCCUUGGCUUGGCUAACUACUAUCGAAAGUUCAUCAAAGGCUACUCUUCCAUCGCCGCGCCACUCACAGAUCUACUGAAGAAGAACCGGACCUGGGAGUGGACUGAUAAGGCCCAAAUCAUCAAAGGCUACUCUUCCAUCGCCGCGCCACUCACAGAUCUACUGAAGAAGAAUCGGACAUGGGAGUGGACUGAUAAGGCCCAAACAUCAUUUGAGGAGUUAAAGGCCGCCAUGAUCAAGGAGCCGGUAUUGGUUUUGCCCGACCAUACCAAGUCUUUCGAGGUGCAGACGGACGCCUCUGACUUUCCCCUGGGAGGCGUCCUAAUGCAAGAAGGGCAUCCUGUGACUUACGAAAGUCGUAAGCU